AAAGAAAAUAACAAUGAUUCCCUCAGUAACGGCGAGCGAAGAGGGAUAAGCUCAAAUUUUAAAUCUGUUGGGUUCCGCUUAACAGAGUUGUAUUUUGAAGAAACGUUUUCUGCAUCCAGGAUUAGCCUAAAUCCUUUGGGAUAAGGUAUCAUGGAGGGUGAGAAUCCCGUUCAUGGUUAAUCUUAAGGAAGCUCUACGAUACGUUUUCCAAGAGUCGAGUUGUUUGGGAUUGCAGCUCAAAAUGGGAGGUAAAUUUCUCCUAAGGCUAAAUAUUGGCGAGAGACCGAUAGCGAACAAGUACCGUGAGGGAAAGAUGAAAAGAACUUUGAAAAGAGAGUUAAACAGUACGUGAAAUUGUUGAAAGGGAAACGAUUGAAG
RNAcentral lists this ribosomal RNA (378 nucleotides) under Funneliformis mosseae. RNAcentral's name for it is "eukaryotic LSU rRNA". It matches the Rfam family "Eukaryotic large subunit ribosomal RNA", at positions 58 to 428 of the family's 3401-position model. The record is from RNAcentral. Lineage: Eukaryota; Fungi; Glomeromycota; Glomeromycetes; Glomerales; Glomeraceae.